RNAcentral lists this ribosomal RNA (541 nucleotides) under Trigonopterus sp. 618 MB-2015. RNAcentral's name for it is "partial 16S ribosomal RNA". The record is from RNAcentral. Lineage: Eukaryota; Metazoa; Arthropoda; Insecta; Coleoptera; Curculionidae.
ACCUGGCUCACACCGGUUUAAACUCAGAUCAUGUAAAAUUUCAAAGGUCGAACAGACCUAAUUUGCCAGCUCCUCCACCAACAAUUUAUUUUAAUCCAACAUCGAGGUCGCAAUCUUUAAAUUCGAUAAGAACUCUAAAAAAAAUUACGCUGUUAUCCCUAAGGUAGUUAAAUCUUGUAAUCUUUAUGAAAGGAUCAUUUAUUCAUAAAUUAAUGAAAAAAUAAAAAAAAGUUCAUCUAAUUUUUUUGUCACCCCAACAAAAUACUUUUUAUACUAAAAUAAUUUUUAAAUCCAAUAUUUCUUUUAACAGAAAAAUAUAAAACUCUAUAGGGUCUUCUCGUCUUCUAUAACUAUUUAAGCUUUUUAACUUAAAAAUAAAGUUCUAAUUAAUUUUUACAGAGACAGAAAUCUUUUCAUCAAACCUUUCAUUCCAGCUUUCAAUUAAAAAACUAAUGAUUAUGCUACCUUUGCACGGUCAAUAUACCGCGGCCAUUUAACUUCUCAUUGGGCAGGCUAGACCUAAAAUUAUAUUCAAUAAGCC